GGGUCAGUAGGUUGGUCGUGCCACCGGUACGUACUGGUCUCACUGAUUCCUCCUUCCUGAAGAACCGUAAUGCCAUUAAUUUGGUGUUGCGGGGAACCAGGACUGUUACUUUGAAAAAAUUAGAGUGUUUAAAGCAAGCUAACGCUUGAAUACAUUAGCAUGGAAUAAUGAAAUAGGACGAUCGAUCCUAUUUUUUUGGUUUCUAGGAUUGACGUA
RNAcentral lists this ribosomal RNA (216 nucleotides) under Glomeromycotina sp. Its description in RNAcentral is "partial small subunit ribosomal RNA". The stretch from base 40 to 216 matches the Rfam family "Eukaryotic small subunit ribosomal RNA", at positions 686 to 864 of the family's 1831-position model. The record is from RNAcentral. Lineage: Eukaryota; Fungi; Glomeromycota.